This 2859-nucleotide ribosomal RNA is filed under the name Haloferax sp. wsp5. RNAcentral describes it as "23S ribosomal RNA". It matches the Rfam family "Archaeal large subunit ribosomal RNA". The record is from RNAcentral. Lineage: Archaea; Methanobacteriati; Methanobacteriota; Halobacteria; Halobacteriales; Haloferacaceae.
CAGCUGGUGGAUAGCUCGGCUCGAGAGCCGAUGACGGACGUGCCAAGCUGCGAUAAGCUGUGGGGAUCCGCACGGAGGGAAGAACCACAGAUCUCCGAAUGGGAAUCCCCACGCAAUUGCCUCGCGCAAUGGGGAACGUUCCGAAUUGAAACAUCUUAGUAGGAACAGGAAAAGAAAGCAAUCCGCGAUGUCGUUAGUAACGGCGAGUGAACGCGAUACAGUCCAAACCGAAGCCUUCGGGCAAUGUGGUGUACGGACUACCCAUAACGGACCUGGAUCUUAUGUGAAGUCUCCUGGAACGGAGCGUGAUACAGGGUGAAAACCCCGUAACAUAAGAACCAGAUCCCGGGGUUGUUCCAGAAUAGCGGGGGUUGGAUAUCCCUCGUGAAUUUCGCAGGCAUCAACUGCGAAGACUAAACACUCCUCGAGACCGAUAGCGAACAAGUAGCGUGAGCGAACGCUGAAAAGCACCCCGAACAGGGCGGUGCAAUAGGGCUUGAAAUCAGUUGGCGAUAGAGCGACGUGGCAUACAAGGUCACUCGACGAAUGAACUGGGAGCGAUCCCGUAGUAAGACUCGAGUGAAGCCGAUGUUACGUCGUGCGUUUUGAAAAACGAACCAUGGAGUGUGUCUGACUGGCGAGUCUAAGGGGGGAACCCCCGGAGGCAUAGGGAAACCGAUACGGCCGCAGUCUUUGACCAGGGCCACCGUCUUCAAGGGCGGGGAGCCAACCGGACACGACCCGAAACCAAGUGAUCUACGCCGGAGCAGGGCGAAGCGUGGCGAAAGCUGCGUGGAGGCCCGUUAGAGUUGGUGUCCUACGAACCUCUCGAACAACUCGGCGUCGCGGGAGGUCGAGGGCACGCCCGAGCGAAGCAUGACCUCCGCUCGGUCACAGGACCGAGCGACACCUCGUCGCGGUUGAGGUCGAUGCGACGAUAUCGCGCGUCUGGGCCUUGUCGAAGGCGCGGCCGCUGGGCGUCCAGAGCUUCAGGCCGUUGUCGGCGGCGGGGUUGUGGGACGCGGGGUAUGCCUGUGCCGGCGGGGAACAACUCCGGGAUUGUAAUUGAAAGUGCAUGGAUUAAGUGUAAUCCUCUGAAGGUGGUCUCGAGCCCUAGACAGCCGGGAGGUGAGCUUAGAAGCAGCUACCCUCUAAGAAUAGCGUAACAGCUUACCGGCCGAGGUUCGAGGCGUCGAAAAUGAUCGGGACUCAAAUCCACCUCCGAGACCUGGCGGCGUGUCACACGACACGAUUCCGUAGGUUGGCAUACUGCAUGGGUGGAAGCACGGGUGAGAACUCGUGUGGACCGUGCAGCAACGAAAAUCAUGGUCUCAGUAGCAGCGAGAGUCGGGUGUGAACCCCGACGGCCUUACGCGCAAGGGUUCCUCGGCACUGUCAAUCAGCCGAGGGUUAGUCGAUCCUAAGUCUCACCGCAACUCGACUGAGACGAAAUGGGAAACAGGUUAAUAUUCCUGUGCCAUCAUGCAGUGAAAGUUGACGCCCUGGGGUCGAUCACGCCGGGCAUUCGCCCGGUCGAACCGUCCAACUCCGUGGAAGCCGUAAUGGCAGGAAGCGGACGAACGGCGGCAUAGGGAAACGUGAUUCAACCUGGGGCCCAUGAAAAGCGCUCAAAUGUCCGCACGAGAACCGACACAGGGCCCGAGCCCUCGCGGAACAGGACGAGGCGCGCGGCGAGCAACCAACGUUAGGGAACGGACUCGGAUUAUUCCAUUGCGGGCAUUACGGCGGCGGGAGGUAAAGACCUUGCCGUUUUGGCGACGGAAGGACUGCAGGGACCCCGUGUUCGCUGUCUAGUGACCGCAAGGACUCGUACCACCACAACUCCAAAAAGAACCGGACAAGUGUGCACGUUCUUAUAAUGGAUUCUAUCUACCUGUACAAGGCCUACAAGAGGACGAAGCGGUAGACUUACAGCUGUUUUCUCCGCCUCCGGUAGAGGGUUGCAUGAAUGGAUUAACCAGAGCUUCACUGUCCCAACGUUGGGCCCGGUGAACUGUACAUUCCAGUGCGGAGUCUGGAGACACCCAGGGGGAAGCGAAGACCCUAUGGAGCUUUACUGCAGGCUGUCGCUGAGACGUGGUCGCCGAUGUGCAGCAUAGGUAGGAGUCGUUACAGAGGUACCCGCGCUACGAGUUCCCCAAGACGCAGCCGGGCAAAAUCAUCCGCCGCGCCAUCGCCUCCUUCUACGCGGGCGAGGACCUCGGCGACAUGAGCAGUAUCGAGAAUCCCGAGGCGCUCGAAAAGAUAGAAAACGCGUCCUGAAGCGGUUUUUCCGCCGUGAUAAAGAAGCUGGACUGUUAGUUGCAAGACUUGAGAAGGCGUACUAAAUUGACUAUACCUGUCCAAGGAUGUCGCUGUCCGAGAAACAGCGUCUCGUAGAGACUUAGGCUGAACGUAUCGAGCGCGUAGUAUGACAGAAAAGCUACCUUAGGGAUAACAGAGUCGUCACCGGCAAGAGCACAUAUCGACCCGGUGGCUUGCUACCUCGAUGUCGGUUCCCUCCAUCCUGCCUGUGCAGAAGCAGGCAAGGGUGAGGUUGUUCGCCUAUUAAAGGAGGUCGUGAGCUGGGUUUAGACCGUCGUGAGACAGGUCGGCUGCUAUCUAUUGGGUGUGUUAAGGAACUUGACGUGAACGUUCGUAUAGUACGAGAGGAACUACGAAUGGGUGCCACUGGUGUACCGGUUGUCCGAGAGGGCAGAUGCCGGGCAGCUACGCACCACGGGGUAAGAGCUGAACGCAUCUAAGCUCGAAACCCACACGGAAAAGAAGUUCCACUGAGGUCACUCGUAGAAGACGAGUUCGAUAGACUCGGGGUGUGCGCAACGAGGCAACGAGUUG